Molecule: ribosomal RNA, 380 nt
Filed under: uncultured Sebacinales
Lineage: Eukaryota; Fungi; Basidiomycota; Agaricomycetes; Sebacinales
Description: eukaryotic LSU rRNA
Rfam family: 5.8S ribosomal RNA (bases 1-105)
Source: RNAcentral
GAAAUGCGAUAAGUAAUGUGAAUUGCAGAAUUCAGUGAAUCAUCGAAUCUUUGAACGCACCUUGCACCCUUUGGUAUUCCGAAGGGUACACCCGUUUGAGUGUCAUUGUAAUCUCACCUCUUCGACUUUGUUGUCGAUCAGUGUGGACUUGGAUGUUGCCGUGUAACAAACGGCUCGUCUGAAAUGCUUGAGUGUACCCUGCUUUGCGGCGUAUUCGGUGUGAUAAAUCUUCACCGGAGUCUGACUUUUGAGUCGCGCUUGUAUUGUAUGGCUCUAUGCUUCCAACCGUCCUAACAAGACAAUGUUUGACAAUUUGACCUCAAAUCGGGUGGGACUACCCGCUGAACUUAAGCAUAUCAAUAAGCGGAGGAAAAGAAACU